AAAGCUCUUAGAAGGCUGCUGGCCUGUGGAAGAACUCGGUGAGUGCCGAUUAUGAUUACGUGGCUGUCUUUCCCUCCCUCAAGGUGUUCAGGUACCAGGGAAGGAGAGGGGCGCCCGGGGGGGCUCAGUCGGUUGAGCGUCCGACCUCGGCUCAGGUCAUGAUCUCACAGCUCGUGGGUUCGAGCCCCGUGUUGGGCUCUGUGCCGACAGCUUGGAGCCUGGAGCCUGCUUCCGAUUCUGUGUCUCCCUCUCUCUCUGCCCCUCCCCUGCUCAUGCUCUGUCUGUCUCUGUCUCUCUCUCUCUCUCUCUCUCUCUCUGUCAAAAAUAAAUAAACAUUAAAAAAGAAAAAUAGUACCAGGGGCGGACCCAGAGUUGGGGCUCUUUAGUGCCACGCCAGGGAGAAGGAAGGAAAGUAACACCGCAGGCUGGACCCUUGCACACCACCCCCUCUUUACUUUACUUUUAAUUACUUUCUUAAUUUGUGGUAAAUCAUACAUAAAAUUCACCGUAACCGUUUUCGGUAUGCAGUUUGGUGAUCAGCACCGUCCACUUCUAGACCACUUCUUGCCGAACCGAAAUUCUGUCUCACUUAACACCACCUCUCCUUCCCCCUCCUCCAGCCCCUGGGGCCCCCCUGGCUCCGGUCUGUCUCUGUGAAUGUGACUCCUCCAGGGGCCUCAGGUGAAUGUCGUCCUGCACGACUGAUCCUUUUGUGCCCGGCUGACUUCACUGAGCGUCAUGUCCUCAAGAUGCAUCCGUAUGGUAGCAGGUGUCAGGAUUUUGUCCCUUUUCAAGACUGAGUAAUAUUCCAUCGCACGGAGAGACGCCAUUUUGUUUAUCCACUCACCUGGCGAUGGACGCCUGGGUUGUCCCCAUCUUUUGGCGAUUGUGGGUCCUGCUGUUGUGAACGUGGGUGUGUACAAAGCUCUUCGAGACCCUGCUCUCACUUUUUUUGGGGGGAGGGGGGCGUAUAUACCCAGAAGUGGGAUUGCUGGAUUAUGUGAUCCCGUCUGUUUUUGUUAGUUUACAAUUGCAGAGAGUGAGGCUACCCAGAAGAGCUCCCGAGUCCGCCCUGGGACCCCAGCCCCCCACCCCCGCUCCAGUCCCUGUGCACCUGUUCCCUGGCCACUGGAAGGCCCUCUGUGAAGGGGACGCCAAACAAGCAUCAUUGCUCACGUCAUGGGAAGGGGGCUCUGGGCCAGAACGACAGUGGCCACUCACCGACAGCCGGGACUGAGCGUGGCCACGUCCCCGGUACUGGGAACACAGUUGCCAAUGGCCAGACGAAGUCUCCCAAGUAGAGACUAGCAGCAGAUUCCACAAAGCAGUAAGGCAGCCGUAGGGAGCACAGGGCUGCAGCUCUGGGUCGCCAGAGGUAGGAGAUAGGUGCCCCCUGUGCUCAGCGGCCACCUCAGCUUCGGCUGGACCUCGGGAGUCCCUGUCCCUGGCAGGGGAGGCCUGCGUUGUUCUCCUUGGCUCAGAUGAGGAGGUCCAGCAGAGGGCCUUCUGUGGCAGUGCCCUCUGUCCCCGGCGCCUGCUCAUCCCCCUGGGAGGGGGGGAGCGGAACUGCCUUGGUGGAGAUGUGGGCUCUGCUGUCCUCUCACUCGGCACCGGCCGAGCCCGAGUCCCUGGGACAGCAGCCCCCUCCCAAAUCAGAGAGAGUGCCAUGUAAAGGGCAGGGUAGCUGGUGCAGACUCUGGGGCGUUCCUGAACGUAGCAGGAAUGAGAGCAUGGAGUGGACGAGACGGGGCCAGGUCAGAUCCGAGACCCCAGAUCCGGAGGGGCUCAUCCGGCCCUAGAGCAAGGCCCGCCUCCAGGAGCCGGGACACCUGCCCAAAGGCCCUGCAAUUUCCCUGUAGUAACCGAAAGGCGCCCUCACUUCCCAGGGAACCCAGAUGCAGACAUCUGUAUUAUUAGCAUAUUGGCACGUGGUUCCAAGUAUUCCCCCCUCCGUGUAGCCUCGCACUCUGUCCCCUGCGGUUGGGGGCCUCCUGCGGUCAAUGAAUCGGGUUGGAAUGAAGAGUGUCACUUGGGCUGGGGCACUGCAGACCCUCCGGCUCAUUCUCUCUCUCUCUCUUCCCCGUGGCCCAGCAACAGGGUCCCUGACCGGCUCCUGCCGACCUGGGGCACGAUGUCUGGCAAGGGAACAAGAAAGGAAACCCAUUGUCCCAGCCCCUGGUACCUCACGGCUGUUUGCAGGCUAUUGGAGCACUGCCUGGAGCACCGCCCGGCGAUGCCUCCCCCCUCCCCCCCCCCCCCCCCCCCCCCCCCCCCCCCGCCGCGGAGGGCCAGCCUGCCUUCCUGGGUCCUGCCCUCUGGUUCUCUGGCUUCUGUUUCCUCUUUGAGGUAACCAGCACCCUUUCAAUAACUCCCUUUGCUGCUUGACUUGACCCCUGUUGGCCUUCCCUGGGCACAGGGCAUCCUUGCCUGGCGGAGGAAGCUGUGCCAGCCGUCGCCAGCCCACACUGCACUGGGAUGUGGGCCAGGCAGCCGGGAGGGGUAGGGGGCUGGGUUGCAAAGGCAGAUGAGGGCCAUCGGAGAAGGGGUGAUGUGCUUGUACGGUUGUGUGUGUGUGUAGGAAUGACAGGGUUUUGGGGUGGUGGUGGGAUGGUCCAGAGCCAAUGGCCAAGAAAGAAUUCUGGAAGACAUCUUUGGUGCAGAAGGUGAUUUUAUUAAAGCAUGGAGACAGGACCCGUGGGCAGAAAGAGCUGCACUGGGGUUGUGAUGGGUGACAGGUUAUAUCCCCUCAGGUUGGGAGGGAGGCAGGGACAGCGUAAGUCUCUAAGGAAUGUUAGAAGCAAGGUUUCCAGGACCUUGAGGGGCUAGCUGUUGCUAGGAAAACUCAAUUUAUUACCAUUUAGUAAAACCUCCGUCAUGAGACCCUUCAGAUGUGUAUGGGGGUGGGGGCGGGUGGUGCAUAAGCUUGGAGUGGGAUUGCCAGCAUACAUCUUGGGGCUGUUGAGAUAAAGGAAGUUGACUUACAGGGUCCUCGAGGUUGGCAUAAUGUUAAGCCAAGAUUCCCUUUUGCCCCCAGCAGAGUGUCACCAUCGAGGCAGCCGAGCUCCUAGAGGGCGGUCACUCUGCUCGUUUCAAGGACUCAUCAAUGGGCUGCAGGCAGUAAGGGAAUUUAGUUUUUCAUUUGCCUUAGUUUCCCACAUCACCAUGGCGAGCACUUAGACCCCUUUCCUUUGUUGUCUGGCAGCCGGGAGUGUCCGAGGAACGUCACACAGACCCCACCUGGGGCGGGGGGGGGCAGGUGCUGUUAGCCUGUACUCUGCCCGCAACUUGCCCCACGCUCCCCGUCAGGAAGAGAUGUGUGUGCGUGUGAACGUGCACUCGGGCAUGCGUGUUGGAACAUUAAAGGAACGUUCCCACCUCUAGAGGCCCCGUCGCUAAUCCCCCGAGCCCGGGUCCCAAUACCAGCUGGGCAUCCCUGCUCAAAUCAGUCUGAAGGCCGGUGAGCACGUCUGAAACUUAGUGAUGACAGCACCCACAGGGGUGCGGGGAGAUGGCAGGAGAGGAGGUGAAAAAAGCACUUGGCACGGUAUCUGGACAUAAUAGAUUCUCAAUUCGCCGUCCAUCCGGCCAACCCCGCUGUCUGCUCAGCCCUCGCCCCACCUGCCCACUUCCGCCCCUCGCCUCCGUGGGGGGCUCGCCGGCUCUGCCCGCACUGCCCCGGGCCCUGCUGUUUGUCCACAGAGCUGAGCCCCAGCCGCGGGCUGGGCUCUCCCGUCUGCGGCAUCUAGAAUUCCUGUGGUUGGGAUCCCAACUCCUCUUUAUUGUUUUUAAAGUGUUUUGCUGCUGGGAAGCCUCAAGCCUCUCCACAGAGGGACAUAAAUAAGGGUAAUAACGUGGCCACUAGGAAGCCGCCCAGGGUGUGUCUGCCCUGGAGCACCCCCGCCGGCUGCAAGCAAGCCCCUGCGGGGGAGCGCAGGGGGAGGAGGGAUGAACGGCUCUCACUUGCCGUUUCUGGGUCAGUUACCUCUUAUUCUCUGAGCUGCCAGCAGAGUGGGGGGUGGGCACAGGCUCUGUGCCGCUGGCCAGGGCAGCACGGGCGGGUGUGGGGCAGGCUGUCCUCCCGGAACCGAGCGCAGGAACUAACCAUGGUGACACGGGCCAGAGGGGGACACCUCCACUGCCCUCCCCAGGCCACAUGUGGAGAGUGCAGGUGGGGACGUACAGAUUAGAACCCAGAGCCGGGGUGGGGAGGCAGUGAACCCUGGUGGUCAUGGGCCCGGACUUUGGAGCCAGGUCAACCUUGGUGCAAGCCCGGGCCCCACGUGGUGCAAUGUCUGUGCCCUUGGGCGGGUCCCACCUGCUCCCUGAGCCUUGGUCUUUUGCGUGUAGAGUCAAGACGGUGAUGGCCUCCACUCCCGGGAGCUGGGCCCCAGUGUCACCCUUGUGAUGCACAGCCAGGUCCUGGCCUGGAUUGUCCCAGGCAGGCAGGCGGUCUGGGGUGAGCGAGGCCUGGCUGCCUGUGGGGUUUCCCCAUCCCCCACCCAACACAGACUAGAUGCCAGAUACCAGGUUCACCCGGGCAGUUGUUGGGGGGUUGACCUUAUCUCAGGUCAAAGGUGAGGGGCGCCUGGGUGGCUCAGUUGGUGAAGCGUCUGACUCUUGAUUUCGGCUCAGGUCGUGAUCUCGUGGGUGUGGGUUCAAGCCCCAUGGCGGGAUUCUCUUGGCGUUCUCUCUCUCUCCCUCUCUCUCUCUCUGGCCCUCCUUCACUCGUGUGCUGUCUCUCCCUCUCUCGAAAAUAAUAAAUAAACUUAAAAAAACCAAGGUGGGACUGAACACUGGCUGGUGGCCAAGCCCCACUGGAGGGAGCCCUGCAGGGUGGGGGUGCUGGCUUCAUUCGGGGGCGUUUGCUCGGGGGCCUGGAAUCCAACUGAACUAAUUAGACCUGGCAGGCUUGAGCCUGGGAAGCCUCGGAGGACCCCAGGCUGCUUAACUUCUCAAUUUUCAUCUCUGACAGUUGAGGGUUUUCACCGCCCACCAACCCUGGGCCUCUGUCUUCUUUCCUUUAAAAUUUGUGACAGCGCCGUUUUCCCUUUUUUGCCUUUUAUACUUAGUAACACUUUUUUUUAAACCCCAAAAUAUCCAUGCCCGUGAGAAACAAUUCAGACUCUACAGAUAUUUACCAAAUGUGACCGUGUGGCCCAAAGACACAGUGGCGCCCCUUGUGUGUUUAGGGAGCUUCUGAGCUGGCACAUGGGGAGGGCAGGGGCGAGGUGGGGCUGGAAGUCUCUCCCCACAAAGCUAAAAGGGGCCAAAAGGUGGCUUCGGAGGAAAGGGGAAGCCACCGGGACACAGGAGGCAGGGGAUGACAUCACGUAGGGGCCUGAGGGCCGCACCAGGACGCUGGGGACGGGGCGGGGGGGGGCCUGGAGGCUGGUCUCCCGUGUGAGAGCCAGGCCAGGCUGAGCUGGGUGACGUCCCUACGUCUGUGGCUUCCCGAGGGCGAGCAGGACAUAGGGGCAGGGCGCAGAGGGUGGGGGCAGGGGCAGCCAAGUAGGUCCCCAGAACAGGCAAGUGUCUGUGCCGCCUCACCCCUGCAGGGAAGCGGAAAGGCGGCACCCUCCUUCCCUUCCUCGCCCACCUGCUCUCCACGGAAGAGCCGGCGCCCCAGGGUUAGCGCACCAGAGUGGGAUGCGGGCCCGGAGCGGCUCCGACCCGGCGACCUUCCCCGCGGCCCUGACGCUCCCUUGACAGCAUGUGUUGUAAUUGGGUUUUGCACGGAGCCUCUGGCACUGGCCUGGUUGUCCUGCCCCCCCUUCCUCUGCCCUGAGUGUCCAUCCCUGAUGUUCUUUGAACCCCAGGCAUCGAGCCUCCUUCUCUCUCAAUCUCGUCCUCCGCCCUGAUUCUACCCGACAAGGUCAGGCUGGCACCGGGGCCUGGCAUGGUGCACGCUUCUCAAGGGUGCUCCGUGUGGGCCGUUUCCGGGCCCCCACCCCUUGAAUAAGAAGGGGAGCCCCGGGUCUGCACCCUGGAGAGUAACAGGCCACGGCUGCCGUCCCAGAGGCGUCGGAGGCUGCUGGGCGAUGCCCCCCUGUUAGGGACCUGCUCUCUGAUGCGUCUGUGAUGUGUGUGAAGAGGAACGGAAGGGGUUCUGGGAACGGACUCCUCGUCUGCAAAUGGCAGCAGUAACACACGUGGGCGGACCGUCCGUGGAGGCUGGUGGACAUCACGUGUCUAGCACAGGGCCCGGCACAAAUGGCACCAGCCUCCCCNCCCCCCCCCCCCCCCCCCCCCCCCCCCCGCCUCCCUCAUUGCUUCCCUAUCUACCGAACGGAGGGGCUGGAUGUCCCAGUGAGAACACCCUGCCCCCAGGGACCGUGUGCCCCCUCUUGGUUACUGUAGGGGACCUGCUGCUCUGUGCUGGCGUGGGGCCAGCACCUGGCGGGAGCAUCUGCUAUGAAUAGCACCUUCCCUGGAGGGCCGCGGUAUUUCGCCCCCCAUUUAUGGAUGUGGACACUGAGGCUGAGAAUGGUUAAGGGAUUGGGCCCAGGUCCCAGCGCUGGUCCUGCCGGACUUGGGACUCGAGCUUGGUCUUCCGACACUCACACUCCUGUUUGUCAUCGCUGCUCGGUGUGUGUGAUGGCCUCCUUCCUCCCCCAAGGCGACCAGAUGUUCAGCAGCUUUGUACCCAGGGACUUGGGGAGCAGAGGGCAUGGGAACAUUGUCCCUCAGUGGGGCACUGCCCCGGCGCCUUCGCCAGCCCAGCGGGUGGCCGAGCGUGUUCUUGUUUGGGUCCUGACUGGUUGAAGCUUGUUUGUCAGGACCUUGUCAGCAUGGGGCUGCGGGGAGGAGGGCACCUGUCUCUGGCCUGGUUGUUUACUCCGGGCUCUGCAAGCCCAAGGGGGCCGCGUUUGCUGCUUCCUACACGGCUCAGGGUCAUCUCCCUGUAGGAGGGAGCCGCAAAAGGAUUGGCCGGGGGCGCAGGCGUCUUUGUGUUUAAAACGAGGCCAAAGCUGUCGCCAACUCACGCAGACAGACGCAGAGGUUUGACUGAAAUCAGGCAGGUGACAUCAGCUGCCCGAGCCCCCUGCUGCCUCCCCCAGUCCCCGCGUCUGACUUCAGGUUCGCCUCUGCUCUGUCUCAUGCAGCCCCUGCAAACUGAUAAGCCAGAAGUCUGCCCUCCGAGGCUGCAUGAAUAAUAGAACUGAAAUCAUCCUUGGUUAAAAAUAGAUAUUCUUCUUAAUAAAUAUUUUACAUACUGUCUUUAGGAUAUACAGAUCCCCCGACUGAAGACUUGAAACAAUCCCUGUUACCGAACCCAAAGAAUAUAGGAGAGGCUCAGCCCCGGCUCUGCCUGUACGUUCCUGCAGCCACAGCUCCCGCCUCGGAUCUCACUCGGUGACGUCCGAUGAAAACAUCCCACACACGGGUGACACAGAGCUGCCUCCAGGGGCUGCCUGGGAAUUUGUGGGCAUGUUAGUCACCUAUGAAUUUUAUGGAGGCAAGUCAGUUAUAACGUGUCCCUUGGUUAGUGAGUUCAGAAAAGCCUCGGAGUUCAGAAAAGGCAAAAGUAGGUUCUCGUGUUCCUGCUGUGCAGGACUCCCCCCAGGACUAGACACCGGGGUGUCUGGGGGAAGUCAUGGGGAGCGAGAGAACAUUCUGGGUGGGGAGGCAGAAAUGGUUGGGUUUUAAAACACUGGCCCAUUUCAGAAAACUUUGCAAAUGCGGUACAACCUUGAAGGUCUGCACUAAUUAGGACACGGCAUGAUCUAGAUACAGCAAAUGAAUCUGAAUAAGCUACAGGAAUGAUCCCAACCUUGACCACCUGCCCCCUCGUAUGAGCUUCCCCCGAAGACGGGGCGGGUGAGAGAUGCUGGGGUCCGCCCAGCACCUAGACCGUUCCAAAGUGAGCCACAUGAUGCAGACCCCAAGAGAAUGGGUGGCAUGUCCUUAUUUGACAGGGCAGGACUCUGGAUAUGGGAAAGCACAGUGUGCUGAGACCGGUGCAGGUGAGCCAGGGGCCCACAUCUCUGUGUGGAGCACCUCCACAGGCCAUCUGAUUUCCCUGGACGGAGCACAGGGGCCCUUCCCUUGAGGCCCACUGUCUGGAGGAAAGGGCACGUUCUCUCUUGUGCCCUCCAUACCUUGAGGACAUUUUGGUUUAGCACCCAGCACCCUGCAUGGCAUGUAGGGUUCCAGGUCUGUCUCACUUCAGAGAGUGAGUUCCUUAAGCACCUGACUUAAAGUUUGACACAUGUUGUUGCAUGGAUGGGUGGGUGGAUGAUGAAUGGAAGGAUGGAUGAUGGAUGGAUGGGUGGAUGAAUGGUUGGGUGAAUGGAUGGGUGGGUAGAUGAGUGGAUGACUAGAUGGCUGGGUGGAUGGAUGGAUGGAUGGAUGAUGAAUGGAUGGAUGGAUUGAUAGAUGGAUGGAUGGUUGAUGGAUGGAUUGUGGAUGGGUGGGUGGAUGGAUGGAUGGAUGGAUGGAUAGAUAAUUGGGUGGGUGGAUGGAUAGUUGGGUGGAUGGGUGGAUGAAUGGAUGGGUGGGUAGAUAAUUGGGUGGGUGGAUGGACAGAUGAUGGAUGGAUGGAUGGAUGGUUGAUGGAUGGAUGGUGGAUGGGUGAUGAAUGGAUGGAUGGAUAAUGAAUGGAUAGAUGGAUGGCUGGCUGGAUGGAUGGAUAGUUGGGUGGAUGGGUAGGUGAAUGGAUGGGUGGGUGGAUGGGUGGAUGCAUGGAUGAAUGGGUGGGUGGUGGACAGAUGGAUGGGUGGAUGGAUGGAUAGAAAAUUGGGUGGGUGAAUGGAUGGAUGGGUGGAUAGAUAAUUGAGUAGGUGGAUGGACGGAUGAUGGAUGGAUGGAUGGAUGGGUAGUUGGGUGGAUGGGUAGGUGAAUGGAUGGGUGGGUGGAUGGGUGGAUGAAUGGAUGAAUGGGUGGGUGGUGGACAGAUGGAUGGGUGGAUGGAUGGAUAGAAAAUUGGGUGGGUGAAUGGAUGGAUGGGUGGAUAGAUGGAUGGAUGGAUGGUUGAUGGAUGGAUGGUGGAUGGGUGGGUGGAUGGAUGGAUGAUGAAUGGAUGGAUGGAUGGAUAGAUGGAUGGAUGGAUGGAUGGUUGAUGGAUGGUGGAUGGGUGGGUGGAUGGAUGGGUGGAUAGAUAAUUGAGUGGGUGGAUGGACGGAUGAUGGAUGGAUGGAUGGAUGGAUGGAUGGAUAGUUGGGUGGAUGGGUAGGUGAAUGGAUGGGUGGGUGGAUGGGUGGAUGAAUGGAUGAAUGGGUGGGUGGUGGACAGAUGGAUGGGUGGAUGGAUGGAUAGAAAAUUGGGUGGGUGAAUGGAUGGAUGGGUGGGUGGGUGAAAAAAGGAACAUUAUAUCAGAUUCCAAAGCAAAUUGAUCACAGAAUAAAAAUGGGAGCCCAGUCACCUAUGUUUUUGCAGGGCUGGUCAUAUAGGUGGUAAUGUGCUUUGAUUCUCCUCCUCUAUCUGUUGCUUCCCACUUCCUGACUGGAAAGGCAGGGCUUGGUGAGCAGGGGGAGGGAGUGGGAUGGGUCCAGACCUUGGGAGCAUGGAAAGUGAAAGAUCGGGGCACCUGGGUGGCUCAGUAGUUUAACAUCGACUCUUGAUUUUGGCUCGGGUCAUGCAUGACCUCACAGUUCUAUGAGUUUGGGCCCCACAUCGGACUCUGCCGUGCUGGUGGUGUGGAGCCUGCUUGGGAUUCUCUCUCUCCCUCUCUCUCUCUGCUCCUCCCCUGCUCGCUCGCCCUCUCUCUUUCUCAAAAUAAAUAAAUAAACUUAAAAAAAAAAAAAGAAGGAGAAAGAUAAAGGACCAGACGCUGGCUCUCUCCUGUGUGGCCCUCCCGGGGAACCUGGGCGCAUGGGCCGCAUGCUGCUGUCAGGAAGCCAGUGGCACUUUAGGACGCUUUGAUGUUUCCCGGUGUUCUUUGAGCAAAACUGGUGCUUGAAAGUCAGGCAAUCGGAACUCAGCACCCACUCAGGCUCCCAAGAGUCUAAGUAUUGUGGGAAACGCAAAGGGAGUUAGCAAAUUAAAAAUGAAGAAACCCUAUUCUUUCCAUAGAAGGGGUAUUUAAGAUGACUUUGUGCCGCUAUACCUGUACUUGUUUCGCAUUUCGUAUUUUGGAAGGUGGAGGGGAAGAAAAUCGCAAAAUGUUUUCCUUUCUCUGUGAUUGCAUAUGCUCCUAAAAUAUUAAACUAUUGCUGAAUAAUUGAUUAAAACUAACCUCAGUGGGAGCCAAUCACCCAUUUGGCAGGAUCUCUUUAAACUUUUAGGGGCUUUUAGCUUCCUCUGGCCGCCUAACCUUUUUCUUGUCUCAUUCAUUCAGGGCUCAGCAGACACUGUGCCUCUUGAGCAGCUAGGCUAUCACGAUGCCUCUGUCGAGUGGAGGGAUGAACGGCCAGGCUGCGUUCAGGAAAAGAAAGGUCCUGGGACACUGUCAGACAAGGAAGCAAAGGGAGGGGGAAGGUCUGCCAAUAAUCGUGCCUCGGUUUCUAAGUCACAGAAUGGGCGUCAGAGAUAACAGCGAUGUGACCUUCAGAGCCACUUGAGUUGCCCGAGACUUGGGUUUUUCCCCAGAAUGACAAUGAUGUCUGCCUCCGGUUUUACACGGGACACAAAAAUCAUCGGGCAAAGUGCUUUUGGAACGUGGGCUCAGGCGUCAGACUACCGGGCUUCCACCUUCCUCAGGAGGCUGAACGCAUGACCUUGGACGAGUUCAUCAUUCUCUCUAGGCCUCAGUUUCCCCACCUAUAAAAUGGAGACGGUCCUAGAAAUCCCGGGCUGAGCAGAUUAGGUAGGACCGUCUCAGCAUCAGCCAGGGCAGGGAAGGCCUCCUCCAUGGUCACUCUGCUCAGUAAGAACUCAGGGAGACUCUGAUUGGACUUCUCUGUGGGAAGAGUAGUUACGGGAAAUGCAAAGUCCCCCAGAAUGAGCACAGUCCUUUAAAAAAAUUUUUUUUUAACAUUUUAUUUAUUUUUAAAUUUUUUUUUCUACGUUUAUUUAUUUUUGGGACAGAGAGAGACAGAGCAU
This 10980-nucleotide long non-coding RNA is filed under the name Lynx pardinus (Iberian lynx). Lineage: Eukaryota; Metazoa; Chordata; Mammalia; Carnivora; Felidae. The record is from RNAcentral.